This 21-nucleotide non-coding RNA is filed under the name Arabidopsis thaliana (thale cress). The record is from RNAcentral. Lineage: Eukaryota; Viridiplantae; Streptophyta; Magnoliopsida; Brassicales; Brassicaceae.
AGAGAUGCCGCCGACUCUCGC